This 624-nucleotide ribosomal RNA is filed under the name uncultured bacterium. RNAcentral's name for it is "bacterial SSU rRNA". It matches the Rfam family "Bacterial small subunit ribosomal RNA", at positions 28 to 641 of the family's 1533-position model. The record is from RNAcentral.
AACGAACGCUGGCGGCGUGCUUAACACAUGCAAGUCGAACGCGAAAGUUUUCUUCGGAAAGCGAGUAGAGUGGCGCACGGGUGAGUAACGCGUAAGUAAUCUACCCUGGUAUCCGGGAUAACCUACCGAAAGGUGUGCUAAUACCGGAUACGCUGAUUUAUCAGGAAGGUGGCCUCUUCAUGAAAGCUACUGUACUGGGAGGAGCUUGCGUACCAUUAGCUAGUUGGUAGGGUAAUGGCCUACCAAGGCGACGAUGGUUAGCGGGUCUGAGAGGAUGAUCCGCCACACUGGAACUGGAACACGGACCAGACUCCUACGGGAGGCAGCAGUGAGGAAUAUUGCGCAAUGGGGGAAACCCUGACGCAGCGACGCCGCGUGGAUGAUGAAGGCCUUCGGGUCGUAAAAUCCUGUCAGAUGGAAAGAAGUGCAUGGUAGCUAAUAUCUGCCGUGUUUGACGGUACCAUCAAAGGAAGCACCGGCUAACUCCGUGCCAGCAGCCGCGAUAAUACGGAGGGUGCAAGCGUUGUUCGGAAUUACUGGGCGUAAAGCGCGCGUAGGCGGCUAUUGGGAAAUACCGCCUCACUACAGGGCUAAUUCGUGGAAGUGCAUUUGAAACUGGAUGGC